This 517-nucleotide ribosomal RNA is filed under the name uncultured bacterium. RNAcentral's name for it is "bacterial SSU rRNA". It matches the Rfam family "Bacterial small subunit ribosomal RNA", at positions 19 to 518 of the family's 1533-position model. The record is from RNAcentral.
CUGGCUCAGAACGAACGCUGGCGGCGCGUCUUAAGCAUGCAAGUCGAACGGCAAGAGGUAGCAAUACCUCCUAGAGUGGCGGACUGGUGAGUAACACGUGGGUGACAUACCCUUCAGAUGGGGAUAGCUAUUAGAAAUAGUAGAUAAUACCGAAUACGAGCACAGGGGUUAGAGAUCUGUGAGGAAAGGAGCUAAGGCUCCGCUGAAGGAAUGGCCUGCCGGCCCAUUAGCUAGUUGGUGAGGUAAGAGCCCACCAAGGCGAUGAUGGGUAUCCGGCCUUAGAGGGUGAACGGACACAUUGGGACUGAGAUACGGCCCAGACUCCUACGGGAGGCAGCAGCUAAAGAAUAUUCCCGCAAUGGAACGAAAGUCUGACGGAGCGACGCCGCCGUGGAUGAAGAAGGCCGGAAGGUUAGUAAAAUCCUUUUGAAACUGAAGAAUAAGCGUUGUAGGGAAUGACAGCGUGGUGACAGUUAGGUUUUGAAUAAGCAACGGCUAAUUACGUGCCAGCCGCCGC